AACGAACGCUGGCGGCAUGCCUAACACAUGCAAGUCGAACGAGACCUUCGGGUCUAGUGGCGCACGGGUGCGUAACGCGUGGGAACCUGCCCUUAGGUUCGGAAUAACUCCCCGAAAGGGGUGCUAAUACCGGAUAAUGUCUUCGGACCAAAGAUUUAUCGCCUUUGGAUGGGCCCGCGUUGGAUUAGCUAGUUGGUAGGGUAAAAGCCUACCAAGGCGACGCUCCAUAGCUGGUCUGAGAGGAUGAUCAGCCACACUGGGACUGAGACACGGCCCAGACUCCUACGGGAGGCAGCAGUGGGGAAUAUUGGACAAUGGGCGAAAGCCUGAUCCAGCAAUGCCGCGUGAGUGAUGAAGGCCUUAGGGUUGUAAAGCUCUUUUACCCGGGAUGAUAAUGACAGUACCGGGAGAAUAAGCACCGGCUAACUCCGUG
RNAcentral lists this ribosomal RNA (433 nucleotides) under uncultured bacterium. Its description in RNAcentral is "partial 16S ribosomal RNA". It matches the Rfam family "Bacterial small subunit ribosomal RNA", at positions 29 to 507 of the family's 1533-position model. The record is from RNAcentral.